GGUUAAGCGACUAAGCGUACACGGUGGAUGCCCUGGCAGUCAGAGGCGAUGAAGGACGUGCUAAUCUGCGAUAAGCGUCGGUAAGGUGAUAUGAACCGUUAUAACCGGCGAUUUCCGAAUGGGGAAACCCAGUGUGAUUCGUCACACUAUCAUUAACUGAAUCCAUAGGUUAAUGAGGCGAACCGGGGGAACUGAAACAUCUAAGUACCCCGAGGAAAAGAAAUCAACCGAGAUUCCCCCAGUAGCGGCGAGCGAACGGGGAGCAGCCCAGAGCCUGAAUCAGUGUGUGUGUUAGUGGAAGCGUCUGGAAAGGCGCGCGAUACAGGGUGACAGCCCCGUACACAAAAAUGCACAUGCUGUGAGCUCGAUGAGUAGGGCGGGACACGUGGUAUCCUGUCUGAAUAUGGGGGGACCAUCCUCCAAGGCUAAAUACUCCUGACUGACCGAUAGUGAACCAGUACCGUGAGGGAAAGGCGAAAAGAACCCCGGCGAGGGGAGUGAAAAAGAACCUGAAACCGUGUACGUACAAGCAGUGGGAGCCUCUUAAUGGGGUGACUGCGUACCUUUUGUAUAAUGGGUCAGCGACUUAUAUUCUGUAGCAAGGUUAACCGAAUAGGGGAGCCGAAGGGAAACCGAGUCUUAACUGGGCGUUAAGUUGCAGGGUAUAGACCCGAAACCCGGUGAUCUAGCCAUGGGCAGGUUGAAGGUUGGGUAACACUAACUGGAGGACCGAACCGACUAAUGUUGAAAAAUUAGCGGAUGACUUGUGGCUGGGGGUGAAAGGCCAAUCAAACCGGGAGAUAGCUGGUUCUCCCCGAAAGCUAUUUAGGUAGCGCCUCGUGAAUUCAUCUCCGGGGGUAGAGCACUGUUUCGGCAAGGGGGUCAUCCCGACUUACCAACCCGAUGCAAACUGCGAAUACCGGAGAAUGUUAUCACGGGAGACACACGGCGGGUGCUAACGUCCGUCGUGAAGAGGGAAACAACCCAGACCGCCAGCUAAGGUCCCAAAGUCAUGGUUAAGUGGGAAACGAUGUGGGAAGGCCCAGACAGCCAGGAUGUUGGCUUAGAAGCAGCCAUCAUUUAAAGAAAGCGUAAUAGCUCACUGGUCGAGUCGGCCUGCGCGGAAGAUGUAACGGGGCUAAACCAUGCACCGAAGCUGCGGCAGCGACGCUUAUGCGUUGUUGGGUAGGGGAGCGUUCUGUAAGCCUGCGAAGGUGUACUGUGAGGUAUGCUGGAGGUAUCAGAAGUGCGAAUGCUGACAUAAGUAACGAUAAAGCGGGUGAAAAGCCCGCUCGCCGGAAGACCAAGGGUUCCUGUCCAACGUUAAUCGGGGCAGGGUGAGUCGACCCCUAAGGCGAGGCCGAAAGGCGUAGUCGAUGGGAAACAGGUUAAUAUUCCUGUACUUGGUGUUACUGCGAAGGGGGGACGGAGAAGGCUAUGUUGGCCGGGCGACGGUUGUCCCGGUUUAAGCGUGUAGGCUGGUUUUCCAGGCAAAUCCGGAAAAUCAAGGCUGAGGCGUGAUGACGAGGCACUACGGUGCUGAAGCAACAAAUGCCCUGCUUCCAGGAAAAGCCUCUAAGCAUCAGGUAACAUCAAAUCGUACCCCAAACCGACACAGGUGGUCAGGUAGAGAAUACCAAGGCGCUUGAGAGAACUCGGGUGAAGGAACUAGGCAAAAUGGUGCCGUAACUUCGGGAGAAGGCACGCUGAUACGUAGGUGAAGUCCCUUGCGGAUGGAGCUGAAAUCAGUCGAAGAUACCAGCUGGCUGCAACUGUUUAUUAAAAACACAGCACUGUGCAAACACGAAAGUGGACGUAUACGGUGUGACGCCUGCCCGGUGCCGGAAGGUUAAUUGAUGGGGUUAGCGGUAACGCGAAGCUCUUGAUCGAAGCCCCGGUAAACGGCGGCCGUAACUAUAACGGUCCUAAGGUAGCGAAAUUCCUUGUCGGGUAAGUUCCGACCUGCACGAAUGGCGUAAUGAUGGCCAGGCUGUCUCCACCCGAGACUCAGUGAAAUUGAACUCGCUGUGAAGAUGCAGUGUACCCGCGGCAAGACGGAAAGACCCCGUGAACCUUUACUAUAGCUUGACACUGAACAUUGAGCCUUGAUGUGUAGGAUAGGUGGGAGGCUUUGAAGUGUGGACGCCAGUCUGCAUGGAGCCGACCUUGAAAUACCACCCUUUAAUGUUUGAUGUUCUAACGUUGGCCCCUAAUCGGGGUUGCGGACAGUGUCUGGUGGGUAGUUUGACUGGGGCGGUCUCCUCCUAAAGAGUAACGGAGGAGCACGAAGGUUGGCUAAUCCUGGUCGGACAUCAGGAGGUUAGUGCAAUGGCAUAAGCCAGCUUGACUGCGAGCGUGACGGCGCGAGCAGGUGCGAAAGCAGGUCAUAGUGAUCCGGUGGUUCUGAAUGGAAGGGCCAUCGCUCAACGGAUAAAAGGUACUCCGGGGAUAACAGGCUGAUACCGCCCAAGAGUUCAUAUCGACGGCGGUGUUUGGCACCUCGAUGUCGGCUCAUCACAUCCUGGGGCUGAAGUAGGUCCCAAGGGUAUGGCUGUUCGCCAUUUAAAGUGGUACGCGAGCUGGGUUUAGAACGUCGUGAGACAGUUCGGUCCCUAUCUGCCGUGGGCGCUGGAGAACUGAGGGGGGCUGCUCCUAGUACGAGAGGACCGGAGUGGACGCAUCACUGGUGUUCGGGUUGUCAUGCCAAUGGCACUGCCCGGUAGCUAAAUGCGGAAGAGAUAAGUGCUGAAAGCAUCUAAGCACGAAACUUGCCCCGAGAUGAGUUCUCCCUGACUCCCUGAGAGUCCUGAAGGAACGUUGAAGACGACGACGUUGAUAGGCCGGGUGUGUAAGCGCAGCGAUGCGUUGAGCUAACCGGUACUAAUGAACCGUGAGGCUUAACCUU
RNAcentral lists this ribosomal RNA (2905 nucleotides) under Escherichia coli. Its description in RNAcentral is "23S ribosomal RNA". It matches the Rfam family "Bacterial large subunit ribosomal RNA". The record is from RNAcentral. Lineage: Bacteria; Pseudomonadati; Pseudomonadota; Gammaproteobacteria; Enterobacterales; Enterobacteriaceae.